CAAGGAAUAUUGGUCAAUGGGCGCAAGCCUGAACCAGCCAUGCCGCGUGCAGGAAGACGGCCCUAUGGGUUGUAAACUGCUUUUGUCAGGGAAUAAACCCCCGCUCGUGAGCGGGGCUGAAGGUACCUGAGGAAUAAGCAUCGGCUAACUCCGUGCCAGCAGCCGCGGUAAUACGGAGGAUGCAAGCGUUAUCCGGAUUCAUUGGGUUUAAAGGGUGCGCAGGCGGAUUGGUAAGUCAGGGGUGAAAUCCCACAGCUCAACUGUGGAACUGCCUUUGAUACUGUCAGUCUAGAGUAUAGUUGAAGUGGGCGGAAUGUGUCAUGUAGCGGUGAAAUGCUUAGAUAUGACACAGAACACCGAUCGCGAAGGCAGCUCGCUAAGCUAUAACUGACGCUCACGCACGAAAGCGUGGGGAUCAAACAG
RNAcentral lists this ribosomal RNA (423 nucleotides) under uncultured bacterium. Its description in RNAcentral is "bacterial SSU rRNA". It matches the Rfam family "Bacterial small subunit ribosomal RNA", at positions 355 to 775 of the family's 1533-position model. The record is from RNAcentral.